This 253-nucleotide ribosomal RNA is filed under the name uncultured bacterium. RNAcentral describes it as "partial 16S ribosomal RNA". It matches the Rfam family "Bacterial small subunit ribosomal RNA", at positions 524 to 776 of the family's 1533-position model. The record is from RNAcentral.
UACGUAGGCAGCGAGCGUUGUUCGGAAUUACUGGGCGUAAAGAGUGUGUAGGCGGUGCUCUAAGUUUGGUGUGAAGUCUCCCGGCUCAACCGGGAGGGUGCAUCGAAAACUGGAGUGCUCGAGGGUGGGAGAGGUAAGCGGAAUUCCUGGUGUAGCGGUGAAAUGCGUAGAUAUCAGGAGGAACACCUGUGGUGUAGACAGCUUACUGGACCACUUCUGACGCUGAGACACGAAAGCGUGGGUAGCAAACAGG